GACGAACGCUGGCGGCGUGCUUAACACAUGCAAGUCGAACGGAAAGGCCCUGCUUGCAGGGUACUCGAGUGACGAACGGGCGAGUAACACGUGGGUGAUCUGCCCUGCACUUCGGGAUAAGCCUGGGAAACUGGGUCUAAUACCGGAUAGGAGCUAUUUUUAGUGUGAUGGUUGGAAAGUUUUUUCGGUGUAGGAUGAGCUCGCGGCCUAUCAGCUUGUUGGUGGGGUAAUGGCCUACCAAGGCGGCGACGGGUAGCCGGCCUGAGAGGGUGGACGGCCACAUUGGGACUGAGAUACGGCCCAGACUCCUACGGGAGGCAGCAGUGGGGAAUAUUGCACAAUGGGCGCAAGCCUGAUGCAGCGACGCCGCGUGGGGGAUGACGGCCUUCGGGUUGUAAACUCCUUUCGCUAGGGACGAAGCUUUUUGUGACGGUACCUAGAUAAGAAGCACCGGCUAACUACGUG
RNAcentral lists this ribosomal RNA (465 nucleotides) under uncultured bacterium. RNAcentral describes it as "partial 16S ribosomal RNA". It matches the Rfam family "Bacterial small subunit ribosomal RNA", at positions 28 to 507 of the family's 1533-position model. The record is from RNAcentral.